CUCGUAGGCGGUUUGGUAAGUCAGGUGUGAAAUCUCCACGCUCAACGUGGAGGGGCCACCUGAUACUGCCAUGACUCGAGUCCGGUAGAGGAGUGUGGAAUUCCCGGUGUAGCGGUGAAAUGCGCAGAUAUCGGGAGGAACACCCGUAGCGAAGGCGGCACUCUGGGCCGGUACUGACGCUGAGGAGCGAAAGCGUGGGGAGCAAACA
Molecule: ribosomal RNA, 208 nt
Filed under: uncultured bacterium
Lineage: Bacteria
Description: partial 16S ribosomal RNA
Rfam family: Bacterial small subunit ribosomal RNA
Source: RNAcentral